This 498-nucleotide ribosomal RNA is filed under the name uncultured bacterium. RNAcentral describes it as "partial 16S ribosomal RNA". It matches the Rfam family "Bacterial small subunit ribosomal RNA", at positions 28 to 507 of the family's 1533-position model. The record is from RNAcentral.
GACGAACGCUGGCGGCGUGCCUAAUACAUGCAAGUCGAACGAGAGCGACCGGUGCUUGCACUGGUCAAUCUAGUGGCGAACGGGUGAGUAACACGUGGGUAACCUGCCCAUCAGAGGGGGAUAACAUCCGGAAACGGAUGCUAAAACCGCAUACGCCUUCGAACCGCAUGGUUUGAAGAGGAAAAGAGGCGCAAGCUUCUGCUGAUGGAUGGACCCGCGGUGCAUUAGCUAGUUGGUGAGGUAACGGCUCACCAAGGCCGUGAUGCAUAGCCGACCUGAGAGGGUGAUCGGCCACAUUGGGACUGAGACACGGCCCAAACUCCUACGGGAGGCAGCAGUAGGGAAUCUUCCGCAAUGGACGCAAGUCUGACGGAGCAACGCCGCGUGAGUGAAGAAGGUUUUCGGAUCGUAAAACUCUGUUGUUAGAGAAGAACAAGUGCUAGAGUAACUGUUAGCGCCUUGACGGUAUCUAACCAGAAAGCCACGGCUAACUACGUG